UCACUACAAACAGCACUCCAGUCAUUCACAGCAAAAUUCCCCUGGGCGCAGUGCUGAAGAUGAGAAGAAAGAGAGCUCGCUGCCCAAAUCAUUCAAGAGGAAGAUCGCCGUUGUCUCAGCUACCAAGGGGGUGCCAGCUAUAAACAGUGACACAGAGCGGGGCCAGCCUGGUCGGAAGCGAUGUUGGGGAGCCAGCACAGCCACGACACAGAAAAAAACCCUCCAUCAGUAUCACCACUGAAUUGCUCAAGAGCCUCAUCCCUGACAUCAAACCCCUGGAGGGGCAGGAGGCUGUUGUGGAUCUUCAUGCUGAUGACUCCCACAUCUCUGAGGAUGAGACAAAGCAUAACAGCGAUGAUGGGACUCAUGACAAGGGGCUGAAAAUACACCGGACAGUCACUCAGGUGUCAGUAGAGGUGGCCUUGCCCCCACCUGUAGAACACGAAGUAAAGAACGUGUCAUUAGGAGAUACCUUAACUCGGUGGUCCACUAGCCAGCAGAAGUCUGGAGUUUCCAUUACAGUCGAUGACCCAGUCCGAACUGCCCAGGUGCCCUCCCCGCCCCGGGGCAAGAUCAGUAACAUUGUUCAUAUCUCCAAUUUGGUUCGUCCCUUCACUUUAGGCCAACUGAAGGAGUUACUGGGGCAUACAAGAACCUUGGUGGAAGAAGCCUUCUGGAUUGACAAGAUCAAAUCUCAUUGCUUUGUAACGUACUCAACAGUAGAGGAAGCUGUUGCCACCCGCACAGCUCUGCAUGGGGUCAAAUGGCCCCAGUCCAAUCCCAAAUUCCUUUGUGCUGACUAUGCCAAGCAAGAUGAGCUGGACUAUCACCGUGGCCUCUUGGUGGACCGCCCCUCUGAAACUAAGACAGAUGAGCAAGGCUACCACGGCCCCUGCACCUCUCCCCACCCCCACCACCAGUCCAGCCACCACAGCACCCUCCGACAGAGCAGCGGGGGCAGGAGAGGGCAGUGCGGGAGCAGUGGGCAGAGCGGGAGCGGAAAUGGAGCGGCGGGAGCGAACUUGAUCGCUAGGGGCCACGUUCACGCUCGAGGUCCCGGUGACCGCCGCCGCCAAGAAAGCGCAAAGUCUAAAGAAAAGAAGAGUAAGAAGAAAAAGAAGGCCCAAGAGGAGACACCUGCCAAGCUGCUGGACCACCUUUUCUGAAAGACAAAGGCAGCUCCUUGCAUCUAUUGGCUCCCGCUGACUGACAGUCAAAUUGAUCAGAAGGAGGCAGAGCGGGCUGAACCGGCCAAGGAGCGGGAGAAGGAAGCUGAGCGGGAAAGGAACCGACAGUUGGAGCGGGAGAAACUUCGGGAGCACAGCCGGGAGAGGGACCGGGAGAGAGAGAGGGACAGGGGAGACCGAGACCGAGAUCGGGAGAGGGAGAGGGACAGGGACCGCGAGCGAGGCAGGGAGAGGGACCGCAGAGACACCAAGAGCCACAGCAGAAGCAGGAGUCGGAGCACACCUGUGCGGAACAGGGGCAGCCGCGGCUAGCGGGGACACCACUAGGAGACCUGCAGGUAACCAGCCACUCUGCCCCAGGGUUAUAGGCCACAGCGGGGUAGGCACAGUCACCACCCCCUGAAACUCGGUCUUCACACCAUUUGCCCAGUGCUGACGACGACUGCGUCCUGUCCCCACGUACCAGAUGGAGCAGCCUAGGCCUUGCCCCGCGCUGCCUCCUCCUCCUCCUAUCCCCUGGGACCUAGCCCUCCUCCCUCUCCUUUCUCAUCAUCCUAGAGAGGGAAGAGCUGGGUUAGGAGAGAGGGGGCCGGCCAGCGGGAACAGCCAGGUGCCCCACACCUCUCCAUCCCGCUCACCACCUCGGUGCAGCUUCCCUAGGAACAGCUGGGGCCAGGACUAGGUCAACU
Molecule: long non-coding RNA, 1876 nt
Filed under: Fukomys damarensis (Damara mole-rat)
Lineage: Eukaryota; Metazoa; Chordata; Mammalia; Rodentia; Bathyergidae
Description: lncRNA (ENSFDAG00000026568.1)
Source: RNAcentral